RNAcentral lists this transfer RNA (78 nucleotides) under Rhizoctonia solani. RNAcentral's name for it is "tRNA-Val". The record is from RNAcentral. Lineage: Eukaryota; Fungi; Basidiomycota; Agaricomycetes; Cantharellales; Ceratobasidiaceae.
GGAGCGAUGGUGUAGUUGGUUAUCACGUCUGUCUAACAUCUUCACAGACGGUCCUCAGUUCGAGUCUGGGUCGCUUCA